This 403-nucleotide ribosomal RNA is filed under the name bacterium. RNAcentral's name for it is "partial 16S ribosomal RNA". It matches the Rfam family "Bacterial small subunit ribosomal RNA", at positions 355 to 776 of the family's 1533-position model. The record is from RNAcentral.
UGGGGAAUAUUGCACAAUGGAGGGAACUCUGAUGCAGCGACGCCGCGUGAACGAAGAAGGCUUUCGAGUCGUAAAGUUCUUUUAUAUGGGAAGAUAAUGACGGUACCAUAAGAAGAAGCCCCGGCUAACUACGUGCCAGCAGCCGCGGUAAUACGUAGGUGGCUAGCGUUGUCCGGAAUCACUGGGCGUAAAGGGUUCGCAGGCGGAAAUGCAAGUCAGGUGUAAAAGGCAGUAGCUUAACUACUGUAAGCAUUUGAAACUGCAUAUCUUGAGAAGAGUAGAGGUAAGUGGAAUUUUUAGUGUAGCGGUGAAAUGCGUAGAUAUUAAAAAGAAUACCGGUGGCGAAGGCGACUUACUGGGCUCAUUCUGACGCUGAGGAACGAAAGCGAGGGUAGCAAACAGG